RNAcentral lists this ribosomal RNA (253 nucleotides) under uncultured bacterium. RNAcentral describes it as "partial 16S ribosomal RNA". It matches the Rfam family "Bacterial small subunit ribosomal RNA", at positions 524 to 776 of the family's 1533-position model. The record is from RNAcentral.
UACGGGGGGGGCAAGCGUUGUUCGGAAUUACUGGGCGUAAAGGGCGUGUAGGUGGUUGCGUAAGUCUGGCGUGAAAUAUCUCGGCUUAACCGAGGCAGGUCGUCGGAUACUGCGUAACUGGAGGACGGUAGAGGCGUGUGGAAUUCCGGGUGUAGUGGUGAAAUGCGUAGAGAUCCGGAGGAACACCAGUGGCGAAGGCGACACGCUGGGCCGUACCUGACACUGAUGCGCGACAGCAUGGGGAGCAAACAGG